AUUGAACGCUGGCGGCAUGCCUUACACAUGCAAGUCGAACGGCAGCGGGGGAGAAGCUUGCUUUUCCUGCCGGCGAGUGGCGAACGGGCGAGUAAUACAUCGGAACGUGCCCUGUAGUGGGGGAUAACUAGUCGAAAGAUUAGCUAAUACCGCAUACGACCUGAGGGUGAAAGGGGGGGACCGCAAGGCCUCAUGCUAUAGGAGCGGCCGAUGUCUGAUUAGCUAGUUGGUGGGGUAAAGGCCUACCAAGGCGACGAUCAGUAGCUGGUCUGAUAGGACGAUCAGCCACACUGGGACUGAGACACGGCCCAGACGCCUACGGGAGGAAGCAGUGGGGAAGUUUGGACAAGGGGCGAAAGCUUGAUCAAGCAAUGCGGCGUGUGUGAAGAAGGCCUUCGGGUUGUAAAGCACUUUUGUCCGGAAAGAAAUGGCUCUGGUUAAUACCUGGGGUCGAUGACGGUACCGGAAGAAUAAGGACCGGCUAACUACGUGCCAGCCGCCGCAGUAA
Molecule: ribosomal RNA, 508 nt
Filed under: uncultured bacterium
Lineage: Bacteria
Description: partial 16S ribosomal RNA
Rfam family: Bacterial small subunit ribosomal RNA
Source: RNAcentral